RNAcentral lists this long non-coding RNA (496 nucleotides) under Hordeum vulgare. Its description in RNAcentral is "long non-coding RNA (HVUL_LNC009603)". The record is from RNAcentral. Lineage: Eukaryota; Viridiplantae; Streptophyta; Magnoliopsida; Poales; Poaceae.
CAGGGUAUGAUUGUGAUGUGAUAUGGCCAAUGAUGUGAUGUGAUAUAUUGGAUGUAUGAGAUGAUCAUGUUGUAAUAGAAAUAUCGACUUGCAUGUCGAUGGUACGGCAACCGGCAGGAGCCAUAGGGUUGUCUUUAUACUAACAUAUUUGUGCUUGCAGAUGCGUUUACUAUUUUGCUAGGAUGUAGCUUUAGUAGUAAUACCAUAAGUAGCACGACAACCCCGAUGGCAACACGUUGAUGGAUGAUCAUGGUGUGGCGCCGGUGACAAGAAGAUCGUGCCGGUGCUUUGGUGAUGGAGAUCAAGAAGCACGUGAUGAUGGCCAUAUCAUGUCACUUAUGAAUUGCAUGUGAUGUUAAUCCUUUUAUGCACCUUAUUUUGCUUAGAACGACGGAAGCAUUAUGAGGUGAUCUCUCACUAAAAUUUCAAGACGAAAUUGUGUUCUCCCCGACUGUGCACCGUUGCUACAGUUCGUCGUUUCGAGACACCACGUGAU